GGAUUAGUAGUCUGGUCGUGCCACUGGUAUGUACUGGUCUUACUGAUUUCUCCUUCUUGAAGAACCGUAAUGUCAUUAAUUUGUUGUUGCGGGGAAUCUGGACUGUUACUUUGAAAAAAUUAGAGUGUUUAAAGCAGGCUAACGCUUGAAUACAUUAGCAUGGAAUAAUGAAAUAGGACGUUCGAUCCUAUUUUGUUGGUUUCUAGGAUUGACGUA
This 216-nucleotide ribosomal RNA is filed under the name uncultured fungus. RNAcentral's name for it is "partial small subunit ribosomal RNA". The stretch from base 40 to 216 matches the Rfam family "Eukaryotic small subunit ribosomal RNA", at positions 686 to 864 of the family's 1831-position model. The record is from RNAcentral. Lineage: Eukaryota; Fungi.